AGCCUCUGCCAGGCUCCUGGGGGAGUCAGGACUCUGCUGGUCUAGGCUCAGGCAGGAGGGCAGUUACUGGAAUGUUCGGGGCCAGGGAGGUGGCCAGCAGUCAGCAGGGGCAGGCCACGAGGGACAGAGUGUAUACCGCCUGCCCUGGGCCCUGAAGACGUGCAGACACCUGCUGUGCGUGGAGGAUAGAGGAGCCGGUGAGGAUGGGAGGGUCACCCCCUGCCCCAACGCCUGCCAGGAGAGAGCCUGGACUCCAGAAAGAAACAUGGAACUUGCACCCGGCGCCUGAAGGUCCUGCUGGGUCAUUUCUUGGAUUCUCAGUGCCUCAGCCUUGUCCUUCUCCUCCUGUGUGAGGCCCAGGGAGAGAGUGGGAGCAGACAGCUGGGAGGGAGAGAGUCCAAGGAACCAGGAUGUACCAGAUCAUGCCCUUCAGAUGCCUGGGUUCAAAGGUGAAUGACCUGCCGAAUGACGGGAGCAGA
Long non-coding RNA from Hyaena hyaena (striped hyena), 479 nucleotides. RefSeq lists it as uncharacterized. The record is from RefSeq and is a predicted model, not a curated record. NCBI's taxonomy places the organism in Eukaryota, Metazoa, Chordata, Mammalia, Carnivora, Hyaenidae. The transcript is spliced from 3 exons.